CCUUGUGUACCCGUAGUUACAUGUUUCAUGAUCAAUUUACAUUUCGUGCAAGUAACAGUAGUUUUUUCCUCAUUUUGUACCAAAAAUUUCCAUACUAAAGAUCUUUUAACAUGUACAACGGUCUUUGAAAAAGUAGGUAAAGAGAGGACUUCAUCUUGUUUCGAUAAUUCGGUAGCUGAACUAGUAGGGGUAGGGGUCUCAUCAUCUUCCUCAUUUAUUUCUACUUCCUCAU
This 232-nucleotide long non-coding RNA is filed under the name Solanum tuberosum (potato). RNAcentral's name for it is "long non-coding RNA (STUB_LNC010664)". The record is from RNAcentral. Lineage: Eukaryota; Viridiplantae; Streptophyta; Magnoliopsida; Solanales; Solanaceae.